ACAGCUUACCAAAUUGCCAUC
RNAcentral lists this microRNA (21 nucleotides) under Strongyloides ratti. RNAcentral describes it as "str-miR-34b-3p". Its record names the gene str-miR-34b-3p. Lineage: Eukaryota; Metazoa; Nematoda; Chromadorea; Rhabditida; Strongyloididae. The record is from miRBase by way of RNAcentral.